This 273-nucleotide ribosomal RNA is filed under the name uncultured bacterium. RNAcentral describes it as "partial 16S ribosomal RNA". It matches the Rfam family "Bacterial small subunit ribosomal RNA", at positions 524 to 796 of the family's 1533-position model. The record is from RNAcentral.
UACGAAAGGGGCUAGCGUUGUUCGGAUUUACUGGGCGUAAAGGGCACGCAGGCGGUCUUGCCAGUCAGGGGUGAAAGCCCGAGGCUCAACCUCGGAACUGCCUCUGAUACUGUAAGACUUGAGACUAGGAGAGGGUGGUGGAAUUCCCAGUGUAGAGGUGAAAUUCGUAGAUAUUGGGAGGAACACCAGAGGCGAAGGCGGCCACCUGGACUAGAUCUGACGCUCAGGUGCGAAAGCGUGGGGAGCAAACAGGAUUAGAUACCCGCGUAGUCC